Molecule: ribosomal RNA, 885 nt
Filed under: Salmonella enterica subsp. enterica serovar Typhi
Lineage: Bacteria; Pseudomonadati; Pseudomonadota; Gammaproteobacteria; Enterobacterales; Enterobacteriaceae
Description: partial 23S ribosomal RNA
Source: RNAcentral
AGGAGGAUAGGGUAAGCGCGGUAUUGGAUAUCCGCGUCCAAGCAGUUAGGCUGGGAAAUAGGCAAAUCCGUUUCCCGUGAAGGCUGAGCUGUGAUGGCGAGCGAAAUUUAGUAGCGAAGUUCCUGAUUCCACACUGCCAAGAAAAGCCUCUAGCGAGGUGAGAGGUGCCCGUACCGCAAACCGACACAGGUAGGCGAGGAGAGAAUCCUAAGGUGAUCGAGAGAACUCUCGUUAAGGAACUCGGCAAAAUGACCCCGUAACUUCGGGAGAAGGGGUGCUUCUUAGGGUGUUAAAGCCCCGAGAAGCCGCAGUGAAUAGGCCCAGGCGACUGUUUAKCAAAAACACAGGUCYCUGCGAAGCCGUAAGGYGAWGUAUAGGGRCUGACGCCUGCCCGGUGCUGGAAGGUUAAGAGGAGCGCUUAGCGUAAGCGAAGGYGCGAAUUGAAGCCCCAGUAAACGGCGGCCGUAACUAUAACGGUCCUAAGGUAGCGAAAUUCCUUGUCGGGUAAGUUCCGACCCGCACGAAAGGCGCAACGAUCUGGGCACUGUCUCAACGAGAGACUCGGUGAAAUUAUAGUACCUGUGAAGAUGCAGGUUACCCGCGACAGGACGGAAAGACCCCGUGGAGCUUUACUGCAGCCUGAUAUUGAAUGUUGGUACAGCUUGUACAGGAUAGGUAGGAGCCUUGGAAACCGGAGCGCUAGCUUCGGUGGAGGCAUCGGUGGGAUACUACCCUGGCUGUAUUGACCUUCUAACCCGCUGCCCUUAUCGGGCAGGGAGACAGUGUCAGGUGGGCAGUUUGACUGGGGCGGUCGCCUCCUAAAAUGUAACGGAGGCGCCCAAAGGUUCCCUCAGAAUGGUUGGAAAUCAUUCGCAGAGUGUAACG